This is a long non-coding RNA of Hippopotamus amphibius kiboko, 1936 nucleotides long. RefSeq lists it as uncharacterized. The transcript has 3 exons. The record is from RefSeq and is a predicted model, not a curated record. NCBI's taxonomy places the organism in Eukaryota, Metazoa, Chordata, Mammalia, Artiodactyla, Hippopotamidae.
CUAUUGAUACAUAGUCUUUGGUAUUACAAUGAAGUAAUUACAACAAGUUUUACUACUAUUAUUGUUCCCCUCUUCAAGUAAGCAUAGACUCACAGAAGUCCAAGACUGAAAGGGACCAAAAUCUCAUCUAGUCCCAGCUCUGCCUUUUACAAGGAAAAAGUUUAUUGCUGAAAAGUCAUGUGAUUCCUCAAGGUCUCACAACUCCUUAAGAUAUGUCUGAUGCACAGAAAUGAGUUUGGAAGGCUAUGCAGUAAGAUGCCGUCAGUGGUAAUCUUGGCAAUUCAGUUCCCCCUAGUGCUUCACCGCAGAGUACAGAAGGUUACCAAAUCCUCCAGUUUCUACCACAGGGAUCCAAUGUGGAAAGAAGAAAGCAACCCUAUCACUCUUUAGCAGCUAAAGAUGUUAUACUGAUCACAGCUAAGAAACUGGAGCUUCCCCAUGUGAGAUGUGAAAACAUUUGAAUCUCUUCAGGAUCUUGGAAGGGAAAAGAAAUACACAAGCAGCAAGGAAAAAGUAUUGAUGACAGCGAUUAUUCCUGGAUAGAAAACAGCCACAUAACCCAUUUGGUGAAAAGAGAGGAAAAAGGCAAUGUAUUGAUCUGAGUGAACACACAGCAAAGGCCCUUCCAUGCAACCUCUCAAAGAGAUGCGAUGAGCCUUCAAUUUAGAAAAGCUUACUCUAUUGCUGCUAAAGGUCGGAGUUCCCUGUUGACAAAUCAAGCAAAGAUUUGUUGACAAAUCAAAUGUUCAUCAGAAGUUCUUCUACUGUGAAUUGCUGCUUCUACUUGAUCUUCAGUUAGUUAUAUGUUAGGUACCAGUAAAAUUUAAUAAUCAGGACACAGCCUUAAAAGAUACUAUUUGAUUUUGAAAAUCAAAACAAAAAUUGCUUUAUAUUUCUACAGUGAUCAUUGUUCAGUCUUUGAAAUAGAAUGAUGGGGUUUUCUAUUUUGAAAAGAAUUUAGAAAAAUUUAGUACAGCCUCCACUUUUCUUGUUCUUUUUCCUUUUUUUUUUUUUUUUUGAGGAUUUCAUGAUGUUAUGGUUUCUUUUUAAUGAAAACUUUCAAAUAUAAACAUAAAAGAGAAAAAAAUAGAAUAAUGAACCCCAUAUACCUAUCACCAGGUUGAACAAUGAUCAAGAUUACGCCAGAGCUGAUUCAUCUAUUUCCCAUGUCCCCUUUCACAUCUCCUUUUUAGGGGGUGGAGGGGGUGGGGUAUUAUUUAGAAGUAAACUUCAGCCGUCAUAUCAUUCCAUUCCUACAUAUUUCAGCAAGCAUCUCUAAAACAUACGGACAUUUUCUUACCCAACCAUAAUGCCACUAUUAUACCUAACAAAAUUAAUGAUUCCUAACAAAAUGAAUGAUUACCUGGUACAUCCCGAGUUCAGAUUCUAAUUGCCUAGAUUUUCUCAGAAAGGUCUUUCAUCAAAUCACAAUCCAGACAAUACCUGCUUAUAUCAUUUAACUGUUUGGCCUUUUAUUAAGUCUCUUUUAAUUUUGAGAUCAUUUAGUCCUCCCUCCCUACCCCACCCCCACCCAUUUUUGUUAUUGCUGGUGGUGGUGGUGGUGAUGUUGAUGGCAUUGAUUUGUUGAUGAAACAGGGUCACUGGGCUCCACGUCCUUUUACUUUUUUAACUGUAGAAGAAGUAGAGGCUUUAAGAACUUGAAUGAAUUUCCCCCAAAGAGGUAGUUAAUCAAUACAGAGUAGAAUUCAGAGCUCCUAACUCCAUCCUAUCAUGCCCUUUCCCGUGCAUAUAUCAUGUUGUCAUGCUGUUUUACUAUAUUUAUGAUUUUAAUGUUCUAGUGGUUCAGAAAAUUUAAAUAACAUUUUAAACUUUAUUUCUUCUAUGUUUAUUUAUAUUUAAAAUUCCUACUAUUUUCCAAAAGUUAGUCAGUAUUUAGAAUUUGCAGCUUGUGUUUCCCCAGUGCCUGGCCCUUUGA